RNAcentral lists this ribosomal RNA (668 nucleotides) under Rozella multimorpha. RNAcentral describes it as "LSU rRNA". It matches the Rfam family "Eukaryotic large subunit ribosomal RNA", at positions 128 to 709 of the family's 3401-position model. The record is from RNAcentral. Lineage: Eukaryota; Fungi; Rozellomycota.
GGUUCCCUCUCUGAAUUGUAGUUUGAAGAAAUGUGUUCUGUGGCGGUACGAGAUCCAAGUCUCCUGGAAUGGAGCAUCAGAGAGGGUGAAAAUCCCGUCCUUGGCUUGCUACUUGUCGCUUUACGAUAGCAUUUCGAAGAGUCGAGUUGUUUGGGAAUGCAGCUCAAAGUGGGUGGUAAAUUUCAUCCAAGGCUAAAUAUUGGCAGGAGACCGAUAGCGAACAAGUACCGUGAGGGAAAGAUGAAAAGCACUUUGAAAAGAGAGUUAAAUAGCACGUGAAAUUGUUAAAGGGGAAACGUUUGAAGCCAGUGAUGGUUGCGGGUAUUCAACGUUCAGUUUCGGCUGGGCGUGUAUUUGCCCGUGCCAGGUCAGCAUCAAUUUGGUCUGCCGGAUAAUGACUGUGGAAGGUGCCAUGCCUCUCGGGGUAUGGGUUAUAGCCGCGGUUGAUACGGUGGGCUGGAUUGAGGCCAGCAGCGCGUUUUGGGACUAGUGUGUUUGUUUCUUCGGCCAUGGUAUGACAGGCUUGCCUGAUGUGCUGUGGAUUGCGGGUGCAGACAUGCGACGGACACUUGAGCGCUUAGGAUGCUGACGAAAUGGCUUUAAAUGACCCGUCUUGAAACACGGACCAAGGAGUCUAACAUAUACGCGAGUAUUUGAGUGGCAAACUC